UGGGGAAUAUUGCACAAUGGGCGGAAGCCUGAUGCAGCGACGCCGCGUGGGGGAUGAAGGCCUUCGGGUUGUAAACUCCUUUCGACAGGGACGAAGCUUUUGUGACGGUACCUGUAUAAGAAGCACCGGCUAACUACGUGCCAGCAGCCGCGGUAAUACGUAGGGUGCGAGCGUUGUCCGGAAUUACUGGGCGUAAAGAGCUCGUAGGUGGUUUGUCGCGUCGUCUGUGAAAUUCCGGGGCUUAACUCCGGGCGUGCAGGCGAUACGGGCUGACUUGAGUGCUGUAGGGGAGACUGGAAUUCCUGGUGUAGCGGUGAAAUGCGCAGAUAUCAGGAGGAACACCGAUGGCGAAGGCAGGUCUCUGGGCAGUAACUGACGCUGAGGAGCGAGAGCAUGGGUAGCGAACAGG
Molecule: ribosomal RNA, 409 nt
Filed under: Actinomycetes bacterium
Lineage: Bacteria; Bacillati; Actinomycetota; Actinomycetes
Description: Actinobacteria bacterium partial 16S ribosomal RNA
Rfam family: Bacterial small subunit ribosomal RNA
Source: RNAcentral